RNAcentral lists this long non-coding RNA (1704 nucleotides) under Daphnia pulex (common water flea). RNAcentral describes it as "uncharacterized LOC124204005". The record is from RNAcentral. Lineage: Eukaryota; Metazoa; Arthropoda; Branchiopoda; Diplostraca; Daphniidae.
UGGACCCACCCAAAAAACGUCCACCUCCUCAUUGUACAGGAUCCAUCUACCUCGCGAUCCGAUUGAUUAUAUAAUCCAUUGCAGAGCGGAAUUGGGCUUCAGUGACCUUUCACAUACACCAGUUUCAGGAUCAAAAGGAUCACCAAGUUUGCAGUUCAAAGGCAACUGAUUCAUUAUAGGCAUCACGUAAUGAAUUAUGGACGAAGGUUCUCGGUGCACCAAGCUGCAGCAAACGCCGCCAAGUUGAGCGAUUUCAUCAUCCACCGCCGAGGGGAAAUAACCGCUCCCUUAUUUCCAACAGUUUCCACAGAAACGCGCGUUUCCCAAAAAAGAACCUCCUCCGCAAUGAUUUUGCCAGUCUACAUGUUAAAUCAAUAACAGAUGAGAGAUCUACUAGCUCGCAUGAACUUUCCAGAUUUAUGGUUCAUUUUAAGUGCGUGGAUUGCUUAUGAAACGCUCGCUGGCCUUGCCCUGGGCGUCAUUCAUAAUUAUAGCCAACCAACUAAAAUAAUUGAAGCUAAAUGCAUUAAGUUUUUUUUUUAAAUUUUAGCAAGGCUUGUAAAUGAUGACGCCACUAGUUGAGCUACUUUCCAGGUAAUAAUAAUCAUCUGAAGCGGAAAGUUAGAAUAAAGUAAUUAUUUUUUUAUCUGAAUUAAUAAUAAUCAUUUAAACGUUAACUAUAUACUUUUAUGACUUUGUAGAAAUGUACCCGGCGACUCCCACUGUCUCUUUACGAGUUUUACCACAAAGAACAUCACCGUCUGUUAGACGAGAAGUACUAGAGAGGGGGGAGAAUAAAAAAGUUUAGAAAAUCGAUAAAAUGUGACUUUAUACGUUUCGUGAAACUUAUGUAAUGGCGGCUGAUAUAUUUUUUCCGUGAAUUUCAGCCGGCGUGUAUAGCAGCAUAACGUCAAGUUUAAAUUCAACAGUCCAUGUCGGGAAUGGAUUCAACAAAAGGAGGGUUCCCGUCGAGUGGCCAUCACGUUUCUUUUUAUCACGCUCAAUCAAGUGAAAAGAAAAUUGUAAAAAAAUUGAAUGGUCAACAUUUUCUCCGUUAGAGACGAUUAGAUAUCACGUCCAUUGUGCGCCAAUCAGACCCACUUAUUUGAAAGCUUCAGCAUACAAAACUGCUCGAUCGGCAUCAUCGACCUAGAAUCAAUGCAUUGUCAGAGAAAUAUUUAUUGGGAUAUUGUUUUAAAUACUUUGCAGCUGCAGUCCUGGACUAUUCGUUUGUGUAGGGCUGAUUGAAAUGUACGACCGUCGGUUUUUUCUCAGCAGCGUCAAAAGGGUUUCAAUAAAGAACUUUUUAUUAGUGGGCUACAUAUUUGCAUAUUCACUGAGAAGAUAUACCUGAGCGUGAAUCACGCAGCUGGGAGAAGUCGUUUAGAGGCCGUUUCUCGCAGAUGACUGAACCAAUUUCAAUAAAAAAGCCCAGGACUUUUAUAUCGGCACUCAAGUUCCUUAUGGUCUCGUUAAAGUUUGUAUUAAAAAUAAAAAAAGGGGCCCAAUUGGAUGUUUUAACAAGUUACUUCCUCAUUUCAAGUUUGAAUGUACAGUAUAUGUGCCUGGUCAUUUCGCAAAGUAGAUAUUUGAGGGCAGCCAUCGCCCAAAGGGUUUUGAAUCGUACUUUUCCCAUCUGGUUAACCAGCAAAAUAAUAAAGGGCGUCAACCGGUUUUGGGGACACGCUUUUUCCGUAGGGGACU